GUUAUUAUAAUUCCUUAUACACAAGCAAUUUACUCAAUAAUCUACAUACUAGCAUGAUUCCCAAAUUUAGCAUGCAUUAUUAAUAUAUGUUUCUCUGCAUACCAUUUCCUUCACCUGAAAUCCUCAUUCGAAAUGACUUGAAAUCAGCAGUUAACUUGCAAAGCAGUAAGAGAUCUAACACAACAUACUUUGUGCAAACAUGCUCAACACAGAACCUAACUAAUGACCUUAUUAACACAUUUCCAUCAAGUUUCCUUUCUGAACAGUUUAGAAGUAGCUACCAUAGCAAGAACUCCAAACCCAACAUUUAGCUAUGAAUACUUUGCUAGAAAAUAACUUCACAUAUUCUACAACCUAACUACAACUCUCAUAAUGAACAUACAGUACAUUCAAUAAGCUCAAAAUCAUAUAAUCUAGGAGAAAUAAAACUAAACUAAAGAAUCAAACAUGUUGAAGCCAUGCAUAGUAUUUCAGGUUUUAUUUUACACUUCAAGUCAAAACUUCACAUGAUGUGGAAUUCAAAAAAUUGUAUCUGGGAAUAAAAGAAAAGCAAAGAACAGAACCCAGAUUUUAGAAGUGAAACAGUAGAACCAACUCCAAACAGCUUCAAACCAAACCCUCAAAUCCUUAAAGCUCAAACCAUUUUAUCCCGAGAACAAGAAUUGGUGAUUUUCAGCAGUUUUUGCUCACCAAACAAAAUCAGAAAACUAAAAAAGAAGCAGAAUUUGAGUAGUUUUCCAAACAAAUGAUGCAAGGAAUUAAGAAUUUUUCCAAAGAAACCCCCAUCCGUUUCAACUCUUUAGUCUUUUUUUAUCUUUGAAGAUCUGCCUUGAAUGUCAAAGUAAUGAUGCCUUUAUAGGCAGGGUAAUAGGGAAUACCUCAAGGAAUUCAGCUUUGCACUUCUACCCUUUUUAUGUUUUCAUUUUUUCUUAGAAAGCCUUAGUUUAAAAAUUAAAUUUCCACAUUAGUCCCAAUACCCAGCUUCC
RNAcentral lists this long non-coding RNA (986 nucleotides) under Nicotiana benthamiana. Its description in RNAcentral is "long non-coding RNA (NBEN_LNC041925)". Lineage: Eukaryota; Viridiplantae; Streptophyta; Magnoliopsida; Solanales; Solanaceae. The record is from RNAcentral.